RNAcentral lists this ribosomal RNA (513 nucleotides) under uncultured Streptococcus sp. RNAcentral describes it as "bacterial SSU rRNA". It matches the Rfam family "Bacterial small subunit ribosomal RNA", at positions 88 to 588 of the family's 1533-position model. Lineage: Bacteria; Bacillati; Bacillota; Bacilli; Lactobacillales; Streptococcaceae. The record is from RNAcentral.
CGGCCGCGUCGACAACGGGUGAGUAACGCGUAGGUAACCUGCCUUGUAGCGGGGGAUAACUAUUGGAAACGAUAGCUAAUACCGCAUAACAAUGGAUGACACAUGUCAUUUAUUUGAAAGGGGCAAUUGCUCCACUACAAGAUGGACCUGCGUUGUAUUAGCUAGUAGGUGAGGUAACGGCUCACCUAGGCGACGAUACAUAGCCGACCUGAGAGGGUGAUCGGCCACACUGGGACUGAGACACGGCCCAGACUCCUACGGGAGGCAGCAGUAGGGAAUCUUCGGCAAUGGGGGCAACCCUGACCGAGCAACGCCGCGUGAGUGAAGAAGGUUUUCGGAUCGUAAAGCUCUGUUGUAAGUCAAGAACGAGUGUGAGAGUGGAAAGUUCACACUGUGACGGUAGCUUACCAGAAAGGGACGGCUAACUACGUGCCAGCAGCCGCGGUAAAUCGUAGGUCCCGAGCGUUGUCCGGAUUUAUUGGGCGUAAAGCGAGCGCAGGCGGUUUGAUAAGU